UGCGCAGGCGGACUAUUAAGUCAGUGGUGUAAUCUCUCGGCUCAACCGAGAAACUGCCAUUGAAACUGAUAGCCUUGAGUAUGGUUGUGGUAGGCGGAAUAUAGCAUGUAGCGGUGAAAUGCUUAGAUAUGCUAUAGAACACCGAUCGCGAAGGCAGCUUACCAAACCAUUACUGACGCUCAUGCACGAAAGCGUGGGGAGCAAACAGGAUUAGAUACCCUGGUAGUCC
Molecule: ribosomal RNA, 229 nt
Filed under: uncultured bacterium
Lineage: Bacteria
Description: partial 16S ribosomal RNA
Rfam family: Bacterial small subunit ribosomal RNA
Source: RNAcentral